UACAGAGGGUGCGAGCGUUGUCCGGAAUCACUGGGCGUAAAGGGCGCGUAGGUGGCACUCCAAGUCCGUGGUGAAAGCUCGAUGCUUAACAUCGAGUCGGCCACGGAAACUGGGGAGCUGGAGCACUGUAGGGGCAGAUGGAAUUCCGGGUGUAGCGGUGGAAUGCGUAGAGAUCCGGAAGAACACCGGUGGCGAAGGCGGUCUGCUGGGCAGUUGCUGACACUGAUGCGCGACAGCGUGGGGAGCAAACAGG
This 253-nucleotide ribosomal RNA is filed under the name uncultured bacterium. RNAcentral's name for it is "partial 16S ribosomal RNA". It matches the Rfam family "Bacterial small subunit ribosomal RNA", at positions 524 to 776 of the family's 1533-position model. The record is from RNAcentral.